CUACAAGAAUUGACGGGACCCGCACAAGCGGUGGAUGAUGUGGUUUAAUUCGAUGCAACGCGAAAAACCUUACCCACCUUUGACAUGUACGGAACCCUUUAGAGAUAGAGGGGUGCUCGAAAGAGAGCCGUAACACAGGUGCUGCAUGGCUGUCGUCAGCUCGUGUCGUGAGAUGUUGGGUUAAGUCCCGCAACGAGCGCAACCCUUGUCAUUAGUUGCUACAUUCAGUUGGGCACUCUAAUGAGACUGCCGGUGACGAGCCGGAGGAAGGUGGGGAUGACGUCAAGUCCUCAUGGCCCUUAUAGGUGGGGCUACACACGUCAUACAAUGGCUGGUACAAAGGGUUGCCAACCCGCGAGGGGGAGCCAAUCCCAUAAAGCCAGUCGUAGUCCGGAUCGUAGUCUGCAACUCGACUACGUGAAGUCGGAAUCGCUAGUAAUCGUGGAUCAGAAUGUCACGGUGAAUACGUUCCCGGGUCUU
RNAcentral lists this ribosomal RNA (480 nucleotides) under uncultured Rhodoferax sp. Its description in RNAcentral is "bacterial SSU rRNA". It matches the Rfam family "Bacterial small subunit ribosomal RNA", at positions 905 to 1382 of the family's 1533-position model. The record is from RNAcentral. Lineage: Bacteria; Pseudomonadati; Pseudomonadota; Betaproteobacteria; Burkholderiales; Comamonadaceae.